UACGUAGGGGGCGAGCGUUGUCCGGAUUUAUUGGGCGUAAAGAGCUCGUAGGCGGUUUGGUAAGUCAGGUGUGAAAUCUCCACGCUCAACGUGGAGGGGCCACCUGAUACUGCCAUGACUGGAGUCCGGUAGAGGAGUGUGGAAUUCCCGGUGUAGCGGUGAAAUGCGCAGAUAUCGGGAGGAACACCCGUAGCGAAGGCGGCUGCCUGGCCCAAUACUGACACUCAGGUGCGACAGCGUGGGGAGCAAACAGG
This 254-nucleotide ribosomal RNA is filed under the name uncultured bacterium. Its description in RNAcentral is "partial 16S ribosomal RNA". It matches the Rfam family "Bacterial small subunit ribosomal RNA", at positions 524 to 776 of the family's 1533-position model. The record is from RNAcentral.